RNAcentral lists this transfer RNA (73 nucleotides) under Minisyncoccota bacterium. RNAcentral's name for it is "tRNA-Arg". It matches the Rfam family "tRNA". From Rfam's summary of the family: Transfer RNA (tRNA) molecules are approximately 80 nucleotides in length. The record is from RNAcentral. Lineage: Bacteria; Bacillati; Minisyncoccota.
GCCCCUGUAGCUCAAUGGAUUAGAGCACCACACUCCUAACGUGGAAAUAUAGGUUCGACUCCUAUCAGGGGCA